GUUGUAUGGUUAAGUGACUAAGCGUACACGGUGGAUGCCUUGGCAGUCAGAGGCGAUGAAGGACGUAGUAACUUGCGAUAAGCGUAGAUUAGGCAGUAACAGCCACUUGAGUCUACGAUUUCCGAAUGGGGAAACCCACGUGCAUAAGCACGUAUCCUUACCUGAAUACAUAGGGUAAGGAGGCAAACCGGGGGAACUGAAACAUCUAAGUACCCCGAGGAGAAGAAAUCAACAGAGAUUCCGAAAGUAGCGGCGAGCGAAAUUGGACUAGCCCUUAAGCUUUUAAUGAUGCAGGUGAAGCCUCUGGAAAGUGGCGCAAUAAAGGGUGAUAGCCCCGUAACUGUUCCAUCAUUAUAAGUGAAAUCGAGUAAGGCGGGACACGUGUUAUCCUGUCUGAACAUGGGGGGACCAUCCUCCAAGGCUAAAUACUACUGACUGACCGAUAGUGAACCAGUACCGUGAGGGAAAGGCGAAAAGAACCCCUGUGAGGGGAGUGAAAUAGAACCUGAAACCGUGUACGUACAAGCAGUAGGAGCAGGCUUUGUCCUGUGACUGCGUACCUUUUGUAUAAUGGGUCAGCGACUUAUAUUCAGUGGCAAGGUUAACCGAAUAGGGGAGCCGUAGGGAAACCGAGUCUUAACUGGGCGAUUUAGUCUCUGGAUAUAGACCCGAAACCGGGUGAUCUAGCCAUGGGCAGGUUGAAGGUUGAGUAACAUCAACUGGAGGACCGAACCGACUAAUGUUGAAAAAUUAGCGGAUGACUUGUGGCUAGGGGUGA
RNAcentral lists this ribosomal RNA (778 nucleotides) under Vibrio sp. 2-2(8). Its description in RNAcentral is "partial 23S ribosomal RNA". It matches the Rfam family "Bacterial large subunit ribosomal RNA", at positions 1 to 824 of the family's 2925-position model. The record is from RNAcentral. Lineage: Bacteria; Pseudomonadati; Pseudomonadota; Gammaproteobacteria; Vibrionales; Vibrionaceae.